This 440-nucleotide ribosomal RNA is filed under the name uncultured bacterium. Its description in RNAcentral is "partial 16S ribosomal RNA". It matches the Rfam family "Bacterial small subunit ribosomal RNA", at positions 338 to 795 of the family's 1533-position model. The record is from RNAcentral.
CCUACGGGAGGCAGCAGUGGGGGAUAUUGCACAAUGGGGGAAACCCUGAUGCAGCGACGCCGCGUGAGUGAUGACGUAUUUCGGUAUGUAAAGCUCUAUCAGCAGGGAAGAAAAUGACAGUAUCUGACCAAGAAGCCCUGGCUAACUACGUGCAAGCAGCCGCGGUAAUACGGAGGGGGCAAGCGUUAUACGGAUUUACUGGGUGUAAAGGGAGCGUAGACGGUUUGGUAAGACUGGAGGGAAAGCCCGGAGCCCAACCUCGAGACUGCUUGUGAAACUGUGGAACUGGAGUACAGGAGGGGCAGGCGGAAUUCCUGGUGUAGCGGUGAAAUGCGUAGAUAUCAGGAGGAACACCGGCGGUGAAGGCGGCCUGCUGGACUGAAACUGACGUUGAGGCUCGAAAGCGUGGGGAGCAAACAGGAUUAGAUACCCCAGUAGUC